GAAGUGCUCACCCGCUGUAAACUCAGAGGAGGCGAAGGUGGUGGAAGAGAGGAAGGAGAAAGAGAUCGAAGAGUAAGAAAGUGUGGUGGUCGUGGCCUGAGGUGAGACAGGUGUGGGGUUUGGGGCAGGAAAGGCCCAAGCACACGCCGGUAACAAGCUUAUAAUGAACACAAAUAAUCAGACUCCAUACUCAAUUACCUUCGUGUGCUGAUUUACUGCGUCACUAUUUAAUCCUCUUGCGCGAGGAGGAAAAUUUCAUAACGUAAAAUCAUAUAAUGCCAAUUUGUGUAUUCCUUUGGCAUGAUAUUACGUUUUCCAUUAUUGGCGCGGUGUUCCAUAAAUAGUGCUUGCAGGCGUGGCAUUCGUUAGGAGUCCAGAGAGUGCGUGCUGGCCUCAAAGCAGCCCUAUCAGCAGCUGAGGCAGAUGGAGCCACCGCUGCGGCGUUGGUCCUCAGCAGCGGCGCAGUUGUAGGAAGGUCCGGCAACACUGUCGUUGCUUGUGUUAUCCACUCGCGAGGUGGCUGGUGAUGGAUGAGGGAGUGCGUGGUGGUGAUGAGUAAUGGUAUCAUGCUUCACUGACACAAGUAAACAGUAAACAAUAAACAGUCCUUAU
Long non-coding RNA from Portunus trituberculatus (swimming crab), 612 nucleotides. RefSeq lists it as uncharacterized. NCBI's taxonomy places the organism in Eukaryota, Metazoa, Arthropoda, Malacostraca, Decapoda, Portunidae. The transcript is spliced from 2 exons. The record is from RefSeq and is a predicted model, not a curated record.